RNAcentral lists this ribosomal RNA (497 nucleotides) under uncultured bacterium. Its description in RNAcentral is "bacterial SSU rRNA". It matches the Rfam family "Bacterial small subunit ribosomal RNA", at positions 29 to 515 of the family's 1533-position model. The record is from RNAcentral.
AGUGAACGCUGGCGGCAGGCCUAAUACAUGCAAGUCGAACGGCAGCACGGCAGAGCUUGCUCUGUGGGUGGCGAGUGGCGGACGGGUGAGGAAUACAUGGGAAUCUGCCCAGUCGUGGGGGAUAACGUAGGGAAACUUACGCUAAUACCGCAUGCGCCCUUCGGGGGAAAGCCGGGGACCUUCGGGCCUGGCGCGAUUGGAUGAGCCCAUGUCGGAUUAGCUAGUUGGCGGGGUAAUGGCCCACCAAGGCGACGAUCCGUAGCUGGUCUGAGAGGAUGAUCAGCCACACUGGAACUGAGACACGGUCCAGACUCCUACGGGAGGCAGCAGUAGGGAAUAUUGGACAAUGGGCGCAAGCCUGAUCCAGCCAUGCCGCGUGAGUGAAGAAGGCCCUCGGGUUGUAAAGCUCUUUUGUCCGGAAAGAAAGCGCCGGGUUAAUACCCUGGUGUCCUGACGGUACCGGAAGAAUAAGCACCGGCUAACUUCGUGCCAGCACG